Molecule: non-coding RNA, 72 nt
Organism: Lipotes vexillifer (Yangtze River dolphin)
Lineage: Eukaryota; Metazoa; Chordata; Mammalia; Artiodactyla; Lipotidae
Source: the annotation of a RefSeq genome assembly
UGCCUGGUAGUCCAAUGGUUAGGACUCGGCACUGUCACUGCCGGGUCCCGGGUUCAAUCCCUGGUCGGGGAA